AGCUCCACCGGGUCGACCGCGCGGGUGGCGAGCAGGUAGUCGCGAAUGGCUAUUCCGUGCCGGCCCUC
Streptomyces sp. CB02056 is the source of this 68-nucleotide small RNA. It matches the Rfam family "ASdes TB sRNA". NCBI's taxonomy places the organism in Bacteria, Bacillati, Actinomycetota, Actinomycetes, Kitasatosporales, Streptomycetaceae. The record is from Rfam.